GAACUGUCAUCAUAUCAACAAAAAAAACCUUGUUAAUGACAUCUUAACAUGUCAAACUUUAAAAUAUGAUCCAAAUGGAAACAAAAUAUUAGGCUUUGAUACUAAGGCUCAAUAGAUGAUUGUCCCACACUUGUACAUUGACAGAGUCCAAAAAGGCAAGGGAAAAAACACUCACAAAAGAAACAUGAAUUUUGAUCAUUAAUGCAACCAUUGGAGGCAAUGUUUUCUGCUUGGCUAAAAGAAGCUUCAUCUCACGCAUGUACAAGUCACAAACUCUUUCGAGAUCUAACUAUUGACGUUAAUUUCAAACACGAUAUUAAAUGGAACCUGUAACUGUCAAGCAAUCAAACUAAAAUCCCUUAGAUUUCAAGACGAUUAAUAAUGAGUGCCAAAGCAAGGAUUCUUCUAAACGUUCAACACCAAUCAAAUGGAAUCUGUAACUGUCGAGCAAUCAAAAUAAUCCCAUUCCAUUUCUAGAUGAAUAAAAAAGAGUGCAAGGCAAGGAUUCUUGUAAAUAUUCAACACCAAAAGCCAUUGAUAUAAAAAAGCAAAAACUUCAUGAUGAUAAUCCCAGUAAUUAAUUAAUUAUAGCCAACGGAAUAACUAACAAAUCGGCCUUAACAACUACGAUUUUUCCUAACUAACUUAGAAGGCAUGCUCCCAACAGUCCAAAAACAAUCUCGAAAUGGAGAUUGCCAUCGUUAACUCCUCAAGUUACGUAAUAAUACAAAAAGAGAAUAAUACUUGAUUCAACAUCUUUGGAGCAACCACGUCGGUUUCACAUUAUCCUAUAGAUACAUAUAAUCAUGGGGUGGCCACAUUCUUUAACAGACCCAUGAAAAAUGAUCAAGACAGACAAGAAGGUAUGGAGUUGGAGACCGAUUAGACGGCAAUGAACAGGCGAGCAGAGGCCAGGUUCGUGACAGACGAAUGUGGCACCUGCGAUGACCCAACUCAAGAAAACAAGCAAAAGCGAGAGGGAAAUAUUUUUAAAACCUAAAGAACCGUGAAAAAGAACUGCGAUAAGGAGAGACAAGAUAAGAAAGAAAGUGCCAAAGGCCAUGCUAUCAUUUACAUGAAAGAGUACAUGAUGGAGAAGAGAAGGGCAGAGAGGAUCAACACAGUAAGAGUUAAGAUAUCACGAGACCUGGACGGGUUUGUCGCGGGCUACGUGCUUGCGUUGAUCUUAUCCGAGAAACGAAAGAACCACGAGGACAUAUCUAAGAACCCACAAGAACCCUCGAAAAGAAAUGGGAGAGAGAUCGUUUACCCUCCCAUCGACGACAAGAUGAUCGCUCGGAUCCUGCGCCUUCUUCGACCCCUUGCUCGAGGGUUUCACAGUGAGAUCUUAACCAUUAGCUCACCGACGAGAACGAAGACGACGAUCGCUCGGAUUUUGCUCGACGGUUUCACGGUGAGAAUGGAUCGCUCGGAUCUUCCUCGUUCUUCGACUCCUCGCAAGAGUGUUUCAUGGGGAAGGGAAACUACCGUUGCGACAAUGAGACAGACACGUCAUAUAUAGCACCGAGAGACG
RNAcentral lists this long non-coding RNA (1534 nucleotides) under Musa acuminata (dwarf banana). Its description in RNAcentral is "long non-coding RNA (MACU_LNC001370)". The record is from RNAcentral. Lineage: Eukaryota; Viridiplantae; Streptophyta; Magnoliopsida; Zingiberales; Musaceae.